GUUAAAAAGGUAGUAGUUGAAACUUGGGCCUGGCUGGCGGGUCUCGCCUCACCGUUGCACUCGUCCGGCCGGGCCUUCCUUCUGAAGAACCUCAKGCCCUUCAUUGGGCAGUGUUGGGGAAUCAGGACUUUUACUUUGAAAAAAUUAGAGUGUUCAAAGCAGGCCUUUGCUCGAAUACGUUAGCAUGGAAUAAUAAAAUAGGGCGUGCGUUUCUAUUUUGUUGGUUUCUAGAGACGCCGCAAUGAUUAACAGGAACAGUCGGGGGCAUCAGUAUUCAGUUGUCAGAGGUGAAAUUCUUGGAUUUACUGAAGACUAACUACUGCGAAAGCAUUKGCCRAGGAUGUUUUCAUUAAUCAGGAACGAAAGUUAGGGGAUCGAAGACGAUCAGAUACCGUCSUAGUCKYAACCGUAAACUAUGCCKACUARG
This 427-nucleotide ribosomal RNA is filed under the name Curvularia sp. RNAcentral's name for it is "SSU rRNA". It matches the Rfam family "Eukaryotic small subunit ribosomal RNA", at positions 620 to 1061 of the family's 1831-position model. Lineage: Eukaryota; Fungi; Ascomycota; Dothideomycetes; Pleosporales; Pleosporaceae. The record is from RNAcentral.